Long non-coding RNA from Morus notabilis, 421 nucleotides. RefSeq lists it as uncharacterized. The record is from RefSeq and is a predicted model, not a curated record. Lineage: Eukaryota; Viridiplantae; Streptophyta; Magnoliopsida; Rosales; Moraceae. The transcript has 5 exons.
UUUGUCAUGAUAAUGCAAUAUGAUUGAUAACUUUUUUUGGCUAAGAGAUAUGAUGUGAUAAUUAGAUGAUAUGAUGAUGGACAAGAAGGUUUUGGUCUUUGCCUAUAAGUUUGAUGGAGGUUUUGCUAUGACGGAAAGUAGGAAGUGCGAGAGAAAAAGUCAGAAGUUAAAAGGAAGACAGAGACAGAGAAGUUGCCUAUCCAACAUUGUGUAAGGAAACAAGAGGAUCAGCACUUCCUAUGAUAAAACUUUUAGAUGGAUGGCAAACUCUUAAGGAAAAUUUACUGCCGUUGACAUUGAGCUAUUGCAAAGAGAGAGGGGAAAAAAAUGGGAAAGUAAGAAAAAGAGAGAAAAAUAAGUUAGAUAAGGUAGAGGGAAAAGAAAAUAAUGAAGAGCAGCAAGAAAAAUAGGAGUCAACAAA